RNAcentral lists this ribosomal RNA (425 nucleotides) under uncultured bacterium. Its description in RNAcentral is "bacterial SSU rRNA". It matches the Rfam family "Bacterial small subunit ribosomal RNA", at positions 355 to 773 of the family's 1533-position model. The record is from RNAcentral.
UGGGGAAUCUUGCGCAAUGGGCGAAAGCCUGACGCAGCGACGCCGCGUGCGGGAAGAAGGCCUUCGGGUUGUAAACCGCUUUCAGGAGGGACGAAGCCACUCGGGUUAAUAGCCCAGAGGGUGACGGUACCUCCAGAAGAAGCCCCGGCUAACUACGUGCCAGCAGCCGCGGUAAUACGGAGGGUGCGAGCGUUGUUCGGAAUCACUGGGCGUAAAGCGCGUGUAGGCGGCCCAUUAAGUCUGAUGUGAAAGCCCGGGGCUCACCCCCGGAAGUGCAUUGGAAACUGAUGGACUCGAGUCCCGGAGAGGAGAGUGGAAUUCCUGGUGUAGCGGUGAAAUGCGUAGAUAUCAGGAGGAACACCGGUGGCGAAGGCGGCUCUCUGGACGGUGACUGACGCUGAGACGCGAAAGCGUGGGGAGCAAAC